Molecule: unclassified non-coding RNA, 255 nt
Filed under: rhizosphere metagenome
Description: partial ribosomal RNA internal transcribed spacer region
Source: RNAcentral
GUAGGUGAACCUGCGGAAGGAUCAUUACCGAAUUUAAUUCCGGGGUUGUAGCUGGCCAUUGUUUUGGCAUGUGCACGCCUUGGUAAUCCAAAUCAUUUACACCUCUGUGCACUAUUAAUGUGGGAUUGAUGAGGCUUUGGUGCUUGCGCCGAUGGCAUUCUCAUUCUCAUGUUUUCACAUACACUCCAUAGUAUAGAAUGUUAUUGCGUUAAACGCAUUUUAAUACAACUUUCAGCAACGGAUCUCUUGGCUCUC